GUUUUCGGAUGUUCGAUCGAAAGAUACUAGUUUUUUGAUAGGAAAGUCCAGGCUCGCACGCGCUGCGACGCGCGUAGUGUUUGUGCCAGCGGAAUAAAUAACGCUGGGCAGGGGAGUCACCCCUGACGGCAGAGAAAUUGGCUUCAGGUUCUCCUUUUAAACCCAGCCAAAAGUAUCUUGAAAGUGCCAUAGAGACGAGUUUUCGCGGAAACGCGGAAAAUGGAACGCGGUAAACCCCUCAAGCGAGCAACCCAAACUACGGUCGGGGCAUCAGAUUCGGCGAAUGAAUUUUUUAAAAUGAAGCCAGAAUUUGGCUGUCAGCUAUGGCAGAGACAGAUGAGCAUACAGGCGCGCGUGAAAUCGCGUGCUGGACAUAACUUGGCUUAUAGAA
RNAcentral lists this RNase P RNA (391 nucleotides) under Streptococcaceae bacterium. RNAcentral's name for it is "RNase P RNA component class B". It matches the Rfam family "Bacterial RNase P class B". Rfam says of the family: Ribonuclease P (RNase P) is a ubiquitous endoribonuclease, found in archaea, bacteria and eukarya as well as chloroplasts and mitochondria. Its best characterised activity is the generation of mature 5'-ends of tRNAs by cleaving the 5'-leader elements of precursor-tRNAs. Lineage: Bacteria; Bacillati; Bacillota; Bacilli; Lactobacillales; Streptococcaceae. The record is from RNAcentral.